CUUGGUCAUUUAGAGGAAGUAAAAGUCGUAACAGGUUUCCUUCACCUAUUGAAGCCUUCAGCAGCGACUGUAAAGAAAUGCUAGUUUGCUUGCAAGCAAUGCCACUCAAAUGCUGAGACAUAUGAAUCAGAGCCUUUUAGGCUCACAGAUCAAAUUGUGGUAACCAUUCUUAUGGGCAAAUAUGACCGGUCUUAACUAGAGUUAGUUAAGAAUCCACGUUCCGUAGGUAACCUGCGGAAGGAUCAUUAAAGGUUUCGGGUACCCAGUGCCCAAACUUAACCCUAUGUUUUAACUAUUCAUGUUUCUUUGCCGGUUUCGGCCGGCAGAGUUUUCUCAAACUCCACUAUAAAUGUGUCUUCUGAAUCAAAACUAAAUAAUUAAAACUUUCAACAACGGAUCUCUUGGUUCUGGCAUCGAUGAAGAAGCAGCGAAAUGCGAUAAGUAAUGUGAAUUGCAGAAUUCAGUGAAUCAUCAACCUUUGAACGCAUAUUGCGCCCUUUGGCAUUCCGAAGGGCAUACCUGUCGAGCGUCAUUACACCCCUCAAAGAUGACUCUUUGGCGUUGGGCAAUGCUAAAGGCAUGCCUCAAAAUCAGCGAUGGUGAUAUUCAACCACAGGCGCCACACGUCGUCUAGCUGGCGGGAUGUUGACAGUCAAUUGAUGAAUUUCUAAUGUUGACCUCGGAUCAGGUAGGAAUACCCGCUGAACUUAAGCAUAUCAUAAGCGGAGGAA
This 731-nucleotide ribosomal RNA is filed under the name uncultured fungus. Its description in RNAcentral is "eukaryotic LSU rRNA". The stretch from base 382 to 532 matches the Rfam family "5.8S ribosomal RNA". Lineage: Eukaryota; Fungi. The record is from RNAcentral.